This 429-nucleotide ribosomal RNA is filed under the name Chloroflexota bacterium. RNAcentral describes it as "Chloroflexi bacterium partial 16S ribosomal RNA". It matches the Rfam family "Bacterial small subunit ribosomal RNA", at positions 355 to 776 of the family's 1533-position model. Lineage: Bacteria; Bacillati; Chloroflexota. The record is from RNAcentral.
UGGGGAAUAUUGCAAAAUGGGCGCAAGCCUGAUUCCGCCAUGCCGCGUGUAUGAAGAAGGCCUUCGGGGUGUAAAGUACUUUCAGUCGGGAGGAAGGUGGUAAGGUUAAUAACCUUAUCAAUUGACGUUACCGACAGAAGAAGCACCGGCUAACUCCGUGCCAGCAGCCGCGGUAAUACGGAGGGUGCAAGCGUUAAUCGGAAUUACUGGGCGUAAAGCGCACGCAGGCGGUUGAUUGAGUCAGAUGUGAAAUCCCCGGGCUUAACCCGGGAAUUGCAUCUGAAACUGGUCAGCUAGAGUCGUGUAGAGGGGGGUAGAAUUCCAUGUGUAGCGGUGAAAUGCGUAGAGAUGUGGAGGAAUACCGGUGGCGAAGGCGGCCCCCUGGACGAAGACUGACGCUCAGGUGCGAAAGCGUGGGGAGCAAACAGG